CCUACGGUAGGCAGCAGUGAGGAAUAUUGGUCAAUGGGCUUAAGCCUGAACCAGCCAAGUCGCGUGAGGGAAGACUGUCCUAUGGGUUGUAAACCUCUUUUGUCGGGGAGCAAGGCCGGCUACGUGUGGCCGGACUGAGAGUAACCGAAGAAAAAGCAUCGGCUAACUACGUGCCAGCAGCCGCGGUAAUACGGGGGAUGCGAGCGUUAUCCGGAGUUAUUGGGUUUAAAGGGUGCGCAGGCGGCCGGUUAAGUCAGCGGUAAAAGCUCGGGGCUCAACCCCGGCGAGCCGUUGAAACUGGCGGGCUGGAGUUGGCGAGAAGUAUGCGGAAUGCGCGGUGUAGCGGUGAAAUGCAUAGAGAUCGCGCAGAACCCCGAUUGCGAAGGCAGCGGACCGGCUCUACACUGACGCUGAGGCACGAAAGCGUGGGUAUCGAACAGGAUUAGAUACCCUUGUAGUC
RNAcentral lists this ribosomal RNA (460 nucleotides) under uncultured bacterium. RNAcentral's name for it is "partial 16S ribosomal RNA". It matches the Rfam family "Bacterial small subunit ribosomal RNA", at positions 338 to 795 of the family's 1533-position model. The record is from RNAcentral.